RNAcentral lists this ribosomal RNA (389 nucleotides) under uncultured bacterium. Its description in RNAcentral is "bacterial SSU rRNA". It matches the Rfam family "Bacterial small subunit ribosomal RNA", at positions 28 to 417 of the family's 1533-position model. The record is from RNAcentral.
GACGAACGCUGGCGGCGUGCUUAACACAUGCAAGCCGAGCGGUAAGGCCCUUUCGGGGGUACGACGAGCGGCGAACGGGUGAGUAACACGUGGGUGACCUGCCCUCAGCUCUGGGAGUAAGCCCGGGAAACUGGGUCUAAUACCGGAUAUGACUCCAUGACGCAUGUUGUGGGGUGGAAAGCCUUGUGCGGCUGAGGAUGGGCCCGCGGCCUAUCAGCUUGUUGGUGGGGUGAGGCCUACCAAGGCGACGACGGGUAGCCGGCCUGAGAGGGCGACCGGCCACACUGGGACUGAGACACGGCCCAGACUCCUACGGGAGGCAGCAGUGGGGAAUCUUGCGCAAUGGGCGAAAGCCUGACGCAGCGACGCCGCGUGAGGGAUGACGGCCU